RNAcentral lists this long non-coding RNA (1580 nucleotides) under Homo sapiens (human). RNAcentral describes it as "HSALNT0386696". The record is from RNAcentral. Lineage: Eukaryota; Metazoa; Chordata; Mammalia; Primates; Hominidae.
AAAAAAAAAAAAAAGAAAGUUUUGUAAGGAGCAGGGAGUGAUCAGCUGAGUCAAAUUCUGCAGCUGAUAGGUUAAGCAAGAGUAGGACUCCUCAAUGGCCAUUGGAUCUCCUCAAGUGGAAAUCACUGGUGAGCUUUGAGACAUUUUGGUGGACUGUUGGGGCGAAAGCUGAAUUGUAAUUGUAGUGAGAAGAAACAGGAGGAGGAGAGGAAUUGGAGGCACGAGCUCAGACAAGCUUUUCAGGAGAUUUUCUGGAAAGAGAGGGAGCAGAGUAAUUAGGUAAGAGCAGGAGGAAGAUGUGAGGUCAAGCUAGGAACUUUUUCCCAACAUUUUAUUGUGAAAGUUUUCAAACAUACCAAAAAGUUGAAAGAAUUUUACAGUGAACAUAUACAGACCCACUCUCUGGAUUCUGCAACCAACAUUUUACUAGACUUGCUUUAUCACGUGUAUGUCCAUCUAUCCCUCCCUAAGACAGGUUUAUUUUCUUUUUCAUUUUCUUUUGUUUUUCUUUUUUCUUUUUCUCUUCCUUUUUUUUUUUUUUUUUUUUUUUUUGAGACACGGUCUUGCUCUGUUGCUCAGGCUGGAGUGCAGUUGUGUGAUCAUGGCUCACUGCAGCUUUGACCUCCUGGGCUCAAAUGAUUCUCCCACCUCAGCCUCCCCAGUAGGUGAGACCACACUUUUAAAAAUGUUUUGGCCAGGCACGGUGGCUCACACCUGUAAUCCCAGCACUUUGGGAGGCCGAGGAGGCUGGAUCACCUGAGGUCGGGAGUUCGAGACCAGCCUGGCCAACAUGGUGAAACCCCGUCUCUACUGAAAAUACAAAAUUAGCCAGGUGUGGCGGUGCAUGCCUGUAAUCCCAGCUACUUGGGAGGCUGAGGCAGGAAAAUCGCUUGAACCUGGGAGGCAGAGGUUGCAGUGAGCUGAGAUUGCACCAUUGCACUCCAGGCUGGGCGACAAGAGCGAGACUCUGUCUCAAAAAAAAAUUUUUUUUUCUGUAGAGAUGGGGUCUCACUAUGUUGCCGGGGCUGGUCUUGAACUCCUGGACUCAAGUGAUCCUCCUGCCUUGGCUUCCCAAAGUGCUGGGAUUACAGGCAUGAGCCACUUCGCCUAACAGGUAUUAGUUUUUUUUGUUUGUUUUUUUGAGACGGAGUCUCACUCUGUUGCCAGGCUGGAGUGCAGUGGCACGAGCUCGGCUCACUGCAACCUCUGCUUCCUAGGUUCAAGUGAUUCUCCUGCCUCAGCCUCCCGGGUAGCUGGGAUUUUUUUUUUAACAUUGAUAAAUUACAGGCUGAUUAAAGUUUGAUGGGAAAAAUGCAAUGGGUGGAGGAGACUGAGGAUACGGGAGAAAGAGGGAGGGAUUUUUGAAGCAAUUGGCUGAGUGGAAAAAAGGGGCUAAGAUCUACUGCUAAGUGAUGGAUUGAUCUUUUUUUUAUUUUUUAUUUAUUUUUUAUUUUUAUUUAUUUAUUUUUUUGAGAUGGAGUUUCGCUCUUGUUGCCCAGGCUGGAGUGCAAUGGCAUGAUCUGGGCUCACCGCAACCUCCGCCUCCCGGGUUCACGCCAUUCUCCUGCCUCAGCCUCCCG